This 584-nucleotide ribosomal RNA is filed under the name Brachybacterium paraconglomeratum LC44. RNAcentral describes it as "bacterial LSU rRNA". It matches the Rfam family "Bacterial large subunit ribosomal RNA", at positions 2345 to 2925 of the family's 2925-position model. The record is from RNAcentral. Lineage: Bacteria; Bacillati; Actinomycetota; Actinomycetes; Micrococcales; Dermabacteraceae.
UUGAGUGUAAGUGCACAAGGGAGCUUGACUGCGAGACAGACAUGUCGGGCAGGUGCGGAAAGCAGGAACUAGUGAUCCGGCACCUCAUUGUGGAAUGGGUGUCGCUCAACGGAUAAAAGGUACCCCGGGGAUAACAGGCUGAUCUUGCCCAAGAGCUCAUAUCGACGGCAUGGUUUGGCACCUCGAUGUCGGCUCGUCGCAUCCUGGGGCUGGAGUUGGUCCCAAGGGUUAGGCUGUUCGCCUAUUAAAGCGGUACGCGAGCUGGGUUUAGAACGUCGUGAGACAGUUCGGUCCCUAUCCGCUGCGCGCGUUGGAUAUUUGAGAAGUCCUGUCCCUAGUACGAGAGGACCGGGAUGGACUGACCUCUGGUGUGCCAGUUGUUCUGCCAAGGGCAUGGCUGGUUGGCUACGUCGGGAAGGGAUAACCGCUGAAAGCAUCUAAGCGGGAAGCCUGCUUCGAGAUGAGAUAUCCUUGCACCCUUGAGGUGUGUGAGGCCCCCAGUAGAUGACUGGGUUGAUAGGCCAGAUGUGGAAGCACAGCAAUGUGUGGAGCUGACUGGUACUAAUGGCCGAUGACUUACAACA